RNAcentral lists this ribosomal RNA (1438 nucleotides) under uncultured organism. Its description in RNAcentral is "16S ribosomal RNA". It matches the Rfam family "Bacterial small subunit ribosomal RNA". The record is from RNAcentral.
CGUGCUUAACACAUGCAAGUCGAACGGAAAGGCCCUGCUUUUGUGGGGUGCUCGAGUGGCGAACGGGUGAGUAACACGUGAGUAACCUGCCCUUGACUUUGGGAUAACUUCAGGAAACUGGGGCUAAUACCGGAUAGGAGCUCCUGCUGCAUGGUGGGGGUUGGAAAGUUUCGGCGGUUGGGGAUGGACUCGCGGCUUAUCAGCUUGUUGGUGGGGUAGUGGCUUACCAAGGCUUUGACGGGUAGCCGGCCUGAGAGGGUGACCGGCCACAUUGGGACUGAGAUACGGCCCAGACUCCUACGGGAGGCAGCAGUGGGGAAUAUUGCACAAUGGGCGGAAGCCUGAUGCAGCAACGCCGCGUGCGGGAUGACGGCCUUCGGGUUGUAAACCGCUUUCGCCUGUGACGAAGCGUGAGUGACGGUAAUGGGUAAAGAAGCACCGGCUAACUACGUGCCAGCAGCCGCGGUGAUACGUAGGGUGCGAGCGUUGUCCGGAUUUAUUGGGCGUAAAGGGCUCGUAGGUGGUUGAUCGCGUCGGAAGUGUAAUCUUGGGGCUUAACCCUGAGCGUGCUUUCGAUACGGGUUGACUUGAGGAAGGUAGGGGAGAAUGGAAUUCCUGGUGGAGCGGUGGAAUGCGCAGAUAUCAGGAGGAACACCAGUGGCGAAGGCGGUUCUCUGGGCCUUUCCUGACGCUGAGGAGCGAAAGCGUGGGGAGCGAACAGGCUUAGAUACCCUGGUAGUCCACGCUGUAAACGGUGGGUACUAGGUGUGGGGUCCAUUCCACGGGUUCCGUGCCGUAGCUAACGCUUUAAGUACCCCGCCUGGGGAGUACGGCCGCAAGGCUAAAACUCAAAGGAAUUGACGGGGCCCCGCACAAGCGGCGGAGCAUGCGGAUUAAUUCGAUGCAACGCGUAGAACCUUACCUGGGUUUGACAUGGAUCGGGAGUGCUCAGAGAUGGGUGUGCCUCUUUUGGGGUCGGUUCACAGGUGGUGCAUGGCUGUCGUCAGCUCGUGUCGUGAGAUGUUGGGUUAAGUCCCGCAACGAGCGCAACCCUUGUUCACUGUUGCCAGCACGUUAUGGUGGGGACUCAGUGGAGACCGCCGGGGUCAACUCGGAGGAAGGUGGGGAUGACGUCAAGUCAUCAUGCCCCUUAUGUCCAGGGCUUCACGCAUGCUACAAUGGCUGGUACAGAGAGUGGCGAGCCUGUGAGGGUGAGCGAAUCUCGGAAAGCCGGUCUCAGUUCGGAUUGGGGUCUGCAACUCGACCUCAUGAAGUCGGAGUCGCUAGUAAUCGCAGAUCAGCAACGCUGCGGUGAAUACGUUCCCGGGGCUUGUACACACCGCCCGUCAAGUCAUGAAAGUUGGUAACACCCGAAGCCGGUGGCCUAACCGUUGUGGGGGAGCCGUCGAAGGUGGGACUGGUGAUUAGGACUAAGUCG